RNAcentral lists this unclassified non-coding RNA (247 nucleotides) under Hevea brasiliensis (rubber tree). The record is from RNAcentral. Lineage: Eukaryota; Viridiplantae; Streptophyta; Magnoliopsida; Malpighiales; Euphorbiaceae.
UAAGAAGCUACCGGAGGAUGUUUGGGGAGGGGACGCGUACUCGUGGUCCUCUUUGCAGAAUCCGACGAGUUAUGGAAGCAGGGGAGGCAGUACGAGUAAGGAGGUGAAUUAUGGUGGUGGAGGCGGUGGAAAAGUGAAAUUGACCAUAAUCGAGUAUGUAGUAGUCGAUGGCUGCAUAUUGGCUGAUGGAGGCGACGGGGGUACCAAGGGAGGUGGUGGCUCUGGUGGCAGCAUCUACAUAAAGGCC